This 600-nucleotide ribosomal RNA is filed under the name uncultured bacterium. RNAcentral describes it as "bacterial SSU rRNA". It matches the Rfam family "Bacterial small subunit ribosomal RNA", at positions 731 to 1335 of the family's 1533-position model. The record is from RNAcentral.
GGGGCAUGAUUGACGCUGAGGCUCGAAAGCGCGGGUAUUAAACAGGAUUAGAUACCCUGGUAGUCCGCGCCGUAAACGAUGAAUACCCGCCGUUGGCGACACGCUGUCAGCGGCCAAGCGAAAGCAUUAAGUAUUCCACCUGGGGAGUACGCCGGCAACGGUGAAACUCAAAGGAAUUGACGGGGGCCCGCACAAGCGGAGGAACAUGUGGUUUAAUUCGAUGAUACGCGAGGAACCUUACCCGGGCUUGAACUGAGCAGGACGGGGGGCAGAGACGCCCUCUUUCUUCGGACCUGCUUGGAGGUGCUGCAUGGUUGUCGUCAGCUCGUGCCGUGAGGUGUCGGCUUAAGUGCCAUAACGAGCGCAACCCUUUCCGUCAGUUGCCAUCAGGUGAUGCUGGGCACUCUGUCGGUACUGCCAUCGCAAGAUGUGAGGAAGGUGGGGAUGACGUCAAAUCAGCACGGCCCUUACGUCCGGGGCUACACACGUGUUACAAUGGGGGGCACAGAGAGUUGCUUGCCGGCGACGGUUGGCGGAUCUUGAAAUCCCCUCUCAGUUCGGACUGGAGUCUGCAACCCGACUCCACGAAGCUGGAUUCGC